This 459-nucleotide unclassified non-coding RNA is filed under the name Hevea brasiliensis (rubber tree). The record is from RNAcentral. Lineage: Eukaryota; Viridiplantae; Streptophyta; Magnoliopsida; Malpighiales; Euphorbiaceae.
CCCUUGGUUCCGCGACUACUGGCUCCAAGAAUGCUUCCACGAUCCCCAAUUUGACCCUGUCAUCAACGAUAUUUGCGACCUCGACUCUCUCUUCUUCGACGCCGGCGAUGAUACUUGUACCCACAAACAGGAGGAGGAGGAGGAGGAGAAUGAGCAUAGCAGGGAUUUGGUAUCAUUGGGGGUGAUGAAAUGGCAAGUGGGUCGAGCUCAGCUUGUUCAGGCACCGAGGCAUGCGGAGAAGGCACCCAAGAUUGUGACUGUGAAAAUGAGUCCACGGUUGAUUCAGCAACCGAGGUAGAUUACGUGAUUCAACGAGUUUGAGGAUGAUCGAGAUGGGUUGCUUUUGUAGUUGUACUGUACAUAAGACCCUGACUUCCAUUUACUCGUUUGUUUUCUGUAUUUCAUGCUCUGUGUAUCAUCCUGUAAGCUUUUAACUUCUACUCUAUUUCAUAAUAAAAG